ACUCCUACGGGAGGCAGCAGUGAGGAAUAUUGGUCAAUGGGCGCAAGCCUGAACCAGCCAUCCCGCGUGCAGGAAGACGGCCCUAUGGGUUGUAAACUGCUUUUCUGGAGGAAGAAACACUCUGUCGUGACGGGGCUUGACAGUACUUCAGGAAUAAGCAUCGGCUAACUCCGUGCCAGCAGCCGCGGUAAUACGGAGGAUGCGAGCGUUAUCCGGAUUCAUUGGGUUUAAAGGGUGCGUAGGCGGAUUAAUAAGUCAGUGGUGAAAUCCUGCAGCUUAACUGUAGAAUUGCCAUUGAUACUGUUGGUCUUGAGUUUGGUUAAGGUAGGCGGAAUGUGUAAUGUAGCGGUGAAAUGCUUAGAUAUUACCCAGAACACCAAUUGCGAAGGCAGCUUACUGGACCGAUACUGACGCUGAGGCACGAAAGCGUGGGGAGCAAACAGGAUUAGAUACCCUGGUAGUC
RNAcentral lists this ribosomal RNA (463 nucleotides) under uncultured bacterium. RNAcentral's name for it is "bacterial SSU rRNA". It matches the Rfam family "Bacterial small subunit ribosomal RNA", at positions 335 to 795 of the family's 1533-position model. The record is from RNAcentral.